This 381-nucleotide ribosomal RNA is filed under the name uncultured bacterium. Its description in RNAcentral is "bacterial SSU rRNA". It matches the Rfam family "Bacterial small subunit ribosomal RNA", at positions 790 to 1167 of the family's 1533-position model. The record is from RNAcentral.
GUAGUCCACGCCCUAAACGAUGGAUACUAGACGUAAGAGGUAUCGACCCCUCUUGUGUCGCAGCUAACGCACUAAGUAUCCCGCCUGGGGAGUACGGCCGCAAGGUUGAAACUCAAAUGAAUUGACGGGGACCCGCACAAGCGGUGGAGCAUGUGGAUUAAUUCGAUACUAACCGAAGAACCUUACCCAGGUUUGACAUCGAUGGUAAGCCCAUGAAAGUGGGCCCUCCCUCACAAGGGGACCAGAAGACACUUGUUGCAUGGCUGUCGUCAGCUCGUGCCGUGAGGUGUACGGUUAAGUCCGCCAACGAGCGCAACCCUCGUUCUAUGUUGCCAGCGAGUAAAGUCGGGAACUCAUAGGAGACCGCCGGUGUAAAUCGGA